UGGCGGCGUGGUUAAGACAUGCAAGUCGAACGGAUCAGAUGGUGUAGCAAUACAUUGUCUGGUUAGUGGCGCAAGGGUGAGUAACACGUGGGCAACCUGCCCGGAAAUGGGGGAUAGCCCGCCGAAAGGCGGAUUAAUACCGCAUGUGACGAGAAGCGGCAUCGCUUCGUAGUUAAAGUCGGUGAAAGCUGACGUUUCCGGAUGGGCCCGCGGCCUAUCAGCUAGUUGGUGAGGUAACGGCUCACCAAGGCAAUGACGGGUAGCUGGUCUGAGGGGACGACCAGCCACACUGGAACUGAGACACGGUCCAGACACCUACGGGUGGCAGCAGUCGAGAAUUUUUCUCAAUGGGGGAAACCCUGAAGGAGCGACGCCGCGUGGAGGAUGAAGGUCUUCGGAUUGUAAACUCCUGUCAUGAGGGAGUAAGACACAGCGUUAACUGCGUAUGUGUUUGAUAGUACCUCAAGAGGAAGAGACGGCUAACUCUGUGCCAGCAGCCGCGGUAAUACAGAGGUCUCAAGCGUUGUUCGGAUUCAUUGGGCGUAAAGGGUGCGUAGGCGGUUGGGUAAGUCAGAGGUGAAAUUCCGGGGCUCAACCUCGGAACUGCCUUUGAUACUGCCUGACUAGAGUACUGGAGAGGAGACUGGAAUUCACGGUGUAGCAGUGAAAUGCGUAGAUAUCGUGAGGAAGACCAGUGGCGAAGGCGAGUCUCUGGACAGUUACUGACGCUGAGGCACGAAGGCUAGGGGAGCAAACGGGAUUAGAUACCCCGGUAGUCCUAGCAGUAAACGGUGCACGUUUGGUAUGGGAGGAAUCGACCCCUUCCGUGCCGUANCUAACGCGUUAAACGUGCCGUCUGGGGAGUACGNUCGCAAGAUUAAAACUCAAAGAAAUUGACGGGGGCCCGCACAAGCGGNGG
RNAcentral lists this ribosomal RNA (919 nucleotides) under uncultured bacterium. Its description in RNAcentral is "bacterial SSU rRNA". It matches the Rfam family "Bacterial small subunit ribosomal RNA", at positions 37 to 935 of the family's 1533-position model. The record is from RNAcentral.